UUUUUUGCUUUUUUUUU
Molecule: small RNA, 17 nt
Filed under: Arabidopsis thaliana (thale cress)
Lineage: Eukaryota; Viridiplantae; Streptophyta; Magnoliopsida; Brassicales; Brassicaceae
Description: ATSL248800
Source: RNAcentral